Armigeres subalbatus is the source of this 2312-nucleotide long non-coding RNA. RefSeq lists it as uncharacterized. The record is from RefSeq and is a predicted model, not a curated record. NCBI's taxonomy places the organism in Eukaryota, Metazoa, Arthropoda, Insecta, Diptera, Culicidae. The transcript has 4 exons.
UGCUCAGCGGUUGUAAAUAAACAAGUACAGUCUCGGCAGUGUCACAUGAAAAGGCCUAUUGUGUUAAUCUGCAUGUGCUUUUCGUGUGCUUCGGUCAAAGUGGGUCCGUUCACAAAUUACGUGACGCAAAUUUUGACAUUUUCAAACCCUCUCCGUCCCAAUGUCAUUUAUUAUAUUCGCGAAUACGAAGGUAUUCACUCUUAUGGCAAAAACACAUUGCUGUCUGUCAGACUGCGUGAAAUAUGGCCGCCGAACACCCUUUCUUGUUCCUCUACACACACUAAUCUGGAGCUACCCAGAAUUAUGUCAAAGUGACCCAAAAUCAGCAAAACCGUGGUUACUCUAAUUUGGGUUCGGGUACCUAAACUCAAAUCUGGGUAACAGUACAAGCGAAAAAAUCUGGGUAUCCGGUAUCCAGCUCUUUUCGCUCCAGAAUAUUGUUAUUGUAUAAAAAUGUUUAAAAAAUUCAGUUUCCCCCACCGUUUAUCAUUUACCGGCUGUGCCGACUAUACUCCGCCUUGACAAAUUUAACCAUUAUUUCCUUAUUUUUGCUGCAUACAACGAAAAAUUCCACAUUUUCUCUGGAAUGCAACGUCGGCGCCAUGUUGCUUCGGGUUCGUCUGACUCAGAUCCAUUUUGUUGACAUACCCAGAUUUUGACAACCGCUAAUAUCGAAAAAAUCCGGGUAGAAUCGACCCGGCCACUGAGUUAUUUCAGAUUAGCGUGCAGUAAAAUCCCAUAAGAAACUGUCAGCCUGUGCGUGAAGAAUUUACCUUCGUAGUCGCGAAUAGGACACUGCACUGGCUACUAUGUCUCUUUCUCGUCUAUGUCUAUUUAACUUGUCCUAUUUUCUUGCCUAUAUUCUAAUCUCCAGAAUACUAUUCCUUCCAAAAUUUAUUAAAAAGCUUAAAGAUUAUUUACUAUGAUCGAUUUCGGAAAUUAUGUCUCACUUCUUAGCUCAAAAAAUGGGAAAGCUAUUCCAUCGAGGGUCAAAGAAUUUCGUUACUCUGAACAGCUCUGAACCAUGGAAUCCAUCAAUCUGUCGAGUUCGAAUAAUUCGAGUCGGGUUCUCAUUUGCGACAUACAUGAUCUUCUUCAUUGGCAUUGCAUCCCCCACUGGGACAUUGCCGCCUCGCAGCUUAGUGUUCAAUUAGCACUUCCACAGUUAUUAACGGCGAGGUUUCUAAGCCAAGUUACCAUUUCUGCAUUCGUAUAUCAUGAGGCUAACACGAUGAUACUUUUAUGCCCAAGGAAGUCGAGACAGUUUCCAAUCCGAAAAUUGUCUAGACCGGCACCGGGGGAAUCGAACCCAGCCACCCUCAGCAUGGUCUUGCUUUGUAGCCACGCAUCUUACCGCACGGCUAAGGAGGGCCCUAUGACAUACAUGAUACGUUCUGGAUAAAUAUGACCUGGACGUACUAAUGGCUGCAGUCGGUUUACAUACUUCAAGGACAAAGUGGUAGGAGAGCAGAUUGAUUAGGGCUUGCUUGCUUGCCCGAGCGCAUACCACAUGCCGCCUUUACUAGUAAAGUGGGCAAACCAAUAUCCGUAUGAUUUCAUUGUCCUGUUUCGGGACAAUCUUCCUCACCUUGACGCAGUACGAAAGGACACCUAAUGCCUCUAUGAAACGGGACAAUAGAUUACUUUAAAACUCUAGGAAUGUAACUGAUAGCAGACCAUAUUCGAUGAAGAUUUUGACGCCGAAGAACUGCGCGUGCUGCUCUGCUACACCAAGGACGAAAAGCUGGAUAUAAAAAAUCGAACCGGUCUAUGGCCGCCCUGUACGACAUGAUGACAACAUUUCGAGACAAUAUGAACGAUUGCUUCUAGCAGAAUUGGCUGAAUCCGGAUCUGUUUCGGCAUUAUUAACUGCCACCGAAUCAACAAUAAUAUUCGCGGUAAUAAAAUAAAAUGGAAUUAUUAUCUAAAAACCGGUAUAAGAAAGUUUUUGAAGACGCAAGUUGAAGAAAAAAUUACACUUCCGGAACGUUGUUCAUUCCAAAACGUUUUCGGUGGAUCCGUAAGAGUCAACUAUAAAGGGGUUAUGCUGAUAGUCAACCACGGAAAAACAGGAACCAUCCUACGCCAUCCAAAAAAUGACGUGGAGCUGUUGGGAUAAUUGGAUUUCGAUGCCAGAAGAUGAAUCUGCGGCGCUCUGACCAACAAAAUAUAAAUUAGUCGUUUGUUUUGUGGCGUUGGUUCACUAUUGUGCUAUUAGGUUGCUCAUAUUGCCUCGGCAUAUUUUUUGUUAACAUAUUUAAAGUAGGUACCGUUUAUCUUGUUGCUAGUAUAGUUGUUGGGCUGGUCAUGUA